RNAcentral lists this ribosomal RNA (254 nucleotides) under uncultured bacterium. Its description in RNAcentral is "partial 16S ribosomal RNA". It matches the Rfam family "Bacterial small subunit ribosomal RNA", at positions 524 to 776 of the family's 1533-position model. The record is from RNAcentral.
UACGUAGGGUGCGAGCGUUGUCCGGAAUUACUGGGCGUAAAGAGCUCGUAGGUGGUUUGUCGCGUUGUUCGUGAAAACUCACAGCUCAACUGUGGGCGUGCGGGCGAUACGGGCAGACUGGAGUACUGCAGGGGGAGACUGGAAUUCCUGGUGUAGCGGUGGAAUGCGCAGAUAUCAGGAGGAACACCGGUGGCGAAGGCGGGUCUCUGGGCAGUAACUGACGCUGAGGAGCGAAAGCGUGGGGAGCGAACAGG